AGUCCGACGAUACAGGGUGAUAGUCCCGUAGUUGACGACGUGUGUUCAGUGAAAUCGAGUAGGGCGGGACACGUGAUAUCCUGUCUGAAUAUGGGGGGACCAUCCUCCAAGGCUAAAUACUACUGACUGACCGAUAGUGAACCAGUACCGUGAGGGAAAGGCGAAAAGAACCCCUGUGAGGGGAGUGAAAUAGAACCUGAAACCGUGUACGUACAAGCAGUAGGAGCAGGCUUUGUCCUGUGACUGCGUACCUUUUGUAUAAUGGGUCAGCGACUUAUAUUCAGUGGCAAGGUUAACCAUCUAGGGGAGCCGUAGGGAAACCGAGUCUUAACUGGGCGUUCAGUCUCUGGAUAUAGACCCGAAACCAGGUGAUCUAGCCAUGGGCAGGUUGAAGGUUGAGUAACAUCAACUGGAGGACCGAACCGACUAAUGUUGAAAAAUUAGCGGAUGACUUGUGGCUAGGGGUGAAAGGCCAAUCAAACCUGGAGAUAGCUGGUUCUCCCCGAAAGCUAUUUAGGUAGCGCCUCGGACGAAUACUACUGGGGGUAGAGCACUGUUAAGGCUAGGGGGUCAUCCCGACUUACCAACCCUUUGCAAACUCCGAAUACCAGUAAGUACUAUCCGGGAGACACACGGCGGGUGCUAACGUCCGUCGUGGAGAGGGAAACAACCCAGACCGCCAGCUAAGGUCCCAAAUUACUACUAAGUGGGAAACGAUGUGGGAAGGCUCAGACAGCCAGGAUGUUGGCUUAGAAGCAGCCAUCAUUUAAAGAAAGCGUAAUAGCUCACUGGUCGAGUCGGCCUGCGCGGAAGAUGUAACGGGGCUAAGUAGUAAACCGAAGCUGCGGCAAUGUGCUUUUGCACAUUGGGUAGGGGAGCGUUCUGUAAGCGGUUGAAGGUGUGUGGUAACGCAUGCUGGACGUAUCAGAAGUGCGAAUGCUGACAUGAGUAACGAUAAAGGGGGUGAAAAACCUCCUCGCCGGAAGACCAAGGGUUCCUGUCCAACGUUAAUCGGGGCAGGGUAAGUCGACCCCUAAGGCGAGGCCGAAAGGCGUAGUCGAUGGGAAACGGGUUAAUAUUCCCGUACUUCUUACAAUUGCGAUGGGGGGACGGAGAAGGCUAGGUGGGCCUGGCGACGGUUGUCCAGGUUCAAGUGCGUAGGCUUAAGAGUUAGGUAAAUCCGGCUCUUUUUAAGGCUGAGACACGACGUCGAGCACCUACGGGUGUGAAGUCAUUGAUGCCAUGCUUCCAGGAAAAGCCUCUAAGCUUCAGAUUGUAAGGAAUCGUACCCCAAACCGACACAGGUGGUCGGGUAGAGAAUACCAAGGCGCUUGAGAGAACUCGGGUGAAGGAACUAGGCAAAAUGGUACCGUAACUUCGGGAGAAGGUACGCUCUUGAUGGUGAAGUCCCUCGCGGAUGGAGCUGACGAGAGUCGCAGAUACCAGGUGGCUGCAACUGUUUAUUAAAAACACAGCACUGUGCAAAAUCGUAAGAUGACGUAUACGGUGUGACGCCUGCCCGGUGCCGGAAGGUUAAUUGAUGGGGUUAGACUUCGGUCGAAGCUCUUGAUCGAAGCCCCGGUAAACGGCGGCCGUAACUAUAACGGUCCUAAGGUAGCGAAAUUCCUUGUCGGGUAAGUUCCGACCUGCACGAAUGGCGUAAUGAUGGCCACGCUGUCUCCACCCGAGACUCAGUGAAAUUGAAAUCGCUGUGAAGAUGCAGUGUACCCGCGGCUAGACGGAAAGACCCCGUGAACCUUUACUACAGCUUGGCACUGAACAUUGACCCUACAUGUGUAGGAUAGGUGGGAGGCUUUGAAGCACGUACGCCAGUAUGUGUGGAGCCGUCCUUGAAAUACCACCCUUGUAGUGUUGAUGUUCUAACGUCGACCCCUUAUCGGGGUUGCGGACAGUGCCUGGUGGGUAGUUUGACUGGGGCGGUCUCCUCCCAAAGAGUAACGGAGGAGCACGAAGGUGGGCUAAUCACGGUUGGACAUCGUGAGGUUAGUGCAAUGGCAUAAGCCCGCUUGACUGCGAGAAUGACAAUUCGAGCAGGUGCGAAAGCAGGUCAUAGUGAUCCGGUGGUUCUGAAUGGAAGGGCCAUCGCUCAACGGAUAAAAGGUACUCCGGGGAUAACAGGCUGAUACCGCCCAAGAGUUCAUAUCGACGGCGGUGUUUGGCACCUCGAUGUCGGCUCAUCACAUCCUGGGGCUGAAGUCGGUCCCAAGGGUAUGGCUGUUCGCCAUUUAAAGUGGUACGCGAGCUGGGUUUAGAACGUCGUGAGACAGUUCGGUCCCUAUCUGCCGUGGGCGUUGGAAGAUUGAAGGGGGCUGCUCCUAGUACGAGAGGACCGGAGUGGACGAACCUCUGGUGUUCGGGUUGUGUCGCCAGACGCAUUGCCCGGUAGCUAAGUUCGGAAUCGAUAACCGCUGAAAGCAUCUAAGCGGGAAGCGAGCCCUGAGAUGAGUCUUCCCUGAUACUUUAAGUAUCCUAAAGGGUUGUCGGAGACUACGACGUUGAUAGGUCAGGUGUGUAAGUGCUGUGAGGCAUUGAGCUAACUGAUACUAAUUGCCCGUGAGGCUUAACCAU
This 2589-nucleotide ribosomal RNA is filed under the name Vibrio parahaemolyticus. RNAcentral describes it as "partial 23S ribosomal RNA". It matches the Rfam family "Bacterial large subunit ribosomal RNA", at positions 348 to 2925 of the family's 2925-position model. The record is from RNAcentral. Lineage: Bacteria; Pseudomonadati; Pseudomonadota; Gammaproteobacteria; Vibrionales; Vibrionaceae.